RNAcentral lists this ribosomal RNA (465 nucleotides) under Vreelandella stevensii. RNAcentral's name for it is "partial 16S ribosomal RNA". It matches the Rfam family "Bacterial small subunit ribosomal RNA", at positions 338 to 795 of the family's 1533-position model. The record is from RNAcentral. Lineage: Bacteria; Pseudomonadati; Pseudomonadota; Gammaproteobacteria; Oceanospirillales; Halomonadaceae.
CCUACGGGCAGCAGCAGUGGGGAAUAUUGGACAAUGGGCGAAAGCCUGAUCCAGCCAUGCCGCGUGUGUGAAGAAGGCCUUCGGGUUGUAAAGCACUUUCAGUGGGGAAGAAAGCCUUGGGGCUAAUACCCUCGAGGAAGGACAUCACCCACAGAAGAAGCACCGGCUAACUCCGUGCCAGCAGCCGCGGUAAUACGGAGGGUGCGAGCGUUAAUCGGAAUUACUGGGCGUAAAGCGCGCGUAGGCGGUCUGAUAAGCCGGUUGUGAAAGCCCCGGGCUCAACCUGGGAACGGCAUCCGGAACUGUCAGGCUAGAGUGCAGGAGAGGAAGGUAGAAUUCCCGGUGUAGCGGUGAAAUGCGUAGAGAUCGGGAGGAAUACCAGUGGCGAAGGCGGCCUUCUGGACUGACACUGACGCUGAGGUGCGAAAGCGUGGGUAGCAAACAGGAUUAGAUACCCUUGUAGUC